CCAGGUUUUCCCUUUUAGUGCUUGUCUGUGCUCUUCUUUGCGCCUUUACUGAAGCUAGGAAGCUAGUGGAAGCACAUUAUGCACUUGGUGAGGAGAAAGAAUUAUUCCCUUUUGUCCCAGAUUUUGGUAGUGGACUAGGUUGGCCUGGUGCUGGUGCUGGUGCUGGUGCUGCUGGUGCAGGUGGAGGUGGAGGUGGAGGUGGGGGUGGAGGUGGGGGUGGCAAAGGGGGUGCUGGUGCAGGUUUUGGAGGUGGAGCUGGGUUUGGGUCUGGAAAGGGGGGGGGAGGUGGAGGUGGAGGCGGAGGCGGAGGCGGUGGGGGAUCACUCGGUGGUGGAUAUGGAGGAG
RNAcentral lists this long non-coding RNA (345 nucleotides) under Theobroma cacao (cacao). Its description in RNAcentral is "long non-coding RNA (TCAC_LNC004118)". Lineage: Eukaryota; Viridiplantae; Streptophyta; Magnoliopsida; Malvales; Malvaceae. The record is from RNAcentral.